RNAcentral lists this ribosomal RNA (305 nucleotides) under uncultured bacterium. RNAcentral's name for it is "bacterial SSU rRNA". It matches the Rfam family "Bacterial small subunit ribosomal RNA", at positions 336 to 658 of the family's 1533-position model. The record is from RNAcentral.
CGCCUACGGGGGGCAGCAGUGGGGAAUAUUGCACAAUGGGGAAAACCCUGAUGCAGCGACGCCGCGUGAGUGAAGAAGUAUUUCGGUAUGUAAAGCUCUAUCAGCAGGGAAGAUAAUGACGGUACCUGACUAAGAAGCCCCGGCUAACUACGUGCCAGCAGCCGCGGUAAUACGUAGGGGGCAAGCGUUAUCCGGAUUUACUGGGUGUAAAGGGAGCGUAGGUGGCAGGGCAAGUCAGAUGUGAAAACCCGGCGCUCAACUCCGGGAUUGCAUUUGAAAGUGUCCGGCUGGAGUGCAGGAGAGGG